This 474-nucleotide ribosomal RNA is filed under the name uncultured bacterium. RNAcentral's name for it is "bacterial SSU rRNA". It matches the Rfam family "Bacterial small subunit ribosomal RNA", at positions 335 to 800 of the family's 1533-position model. The record is from RNAcentral.
ACUCCUACGGGAGGCAGCAGUGGGGAAUAUUGCACAAUGGGCGCAAGCCUGAUGCAGCCAUGCCGCGUGUAUGAAGAAGGCCUUCGGGUUGUAAAGUACUUUCAGCAGUGAGGAAGGUGGAUAUGUUAAUAGCAUAUUCAUUUGACGUUAGCUGCAGAAGAAGCACCGGCUAACUCCGUGCCAGCAGCCGCGGUAAUACGGAGGGUGCGAGCGUUAAUCGGAAUUACUGGGCGUAAAGCGCAUGCAGGUGGUUUGUUAAGUCAGAUGUGAAAGCCCGGGGCUCAACCUCGGAAUUGCAUUUGAAACUGGCAAACUAGAGUACUGUAGAGGGGGGUAGAAUUUCAGGUGUAGCGGUGAAAUGCGUAGAGAUCUGAAGGAAUACCGGUGGCGAAAGGCGGCCCCCUGGACAGAUACUGACACUCAGAUGCGAAAGCGUGGGGAGCAAACAGGAUUAGAUACCCUGGUAGGCUGUGC